UACGAUCAAAUCAGACUAAAAUCACCGAUUCUCAUUCGAAUACCGAGGUUAAGCAGCAUCGAACCCGGUCAGUAUGUAGAUGGGUGACCGCUUGCGAACACCGGCUUUUG
This is a non-coding RNA of Acanthosepion pharaonis, 110 nucleotides long. The record is from the annotation of a GenBank genome assembly. NCBI's taxonomy places the organism in Eukaryota, Metazoa, Mollusca, Cephalopoda, Sepiida, Sepiidae.